RNAcentral lists this ribosomal RNA (490 nucleotides) under uncultured bacterium. Its description in RNAcentral is "partial 16S ribosomal RNA". It matches the Rfam family "Bacterial small subunit ribosomal RNA", at positions 30 to 507 of the family's 1533-position model. The record is from RNAcentral.
AUUGAACGCUGGCGGCAGGCCUAACACAUGCAAGUCGAACGGUAACAGGAAGAAGCUUGCUUCUUUGCUGACGCGUGGCGGACGGGUGAGUAAUGUCUGGGAAACUGCCUGAUGGAGGGGGAUAACUACUGGAAACGGUAGUUAAUACCGCAUAACGUCGCAAGACCAAAGAGGGGGAGCUUCGGGCCUCUUGCCAUCGGAUGUGCCCAGAUGGGAUUAGCUAGUAGGUGGGGUAACGGCUCACCUAGGCGACGAUCCCUAGCUGGUCUGAGAGGAUGACAGGCCACCCUGGAACUGAGACACGGUCCAGACUCCUACGGGAGGCAGCAGUGGGGAAUAUUGCACAAUGGGCGCAAGCCUGAUGCAGCCAUGCCGCGUGUAUGAAGAAGGCCUUCGGGUUGUAAAGUACUUUCAGCGGGGAUGAAGGGAGUAAAGUUAAGACCUAUACUCAUUGACGUUACCCGCAGAAGAAGCACCGGCUAACUCCGUG